GCCACAUCUCGGAGAGCUGCUCCUUCGCUGCGCGGCUGCUCCUGGCACAGCUCUGCUGGGGGGACAGCGGGGACGUCGGGGUGCAGAGCCCCAGGAGGGACGGGGGAAGGUGCCUUCGGGGCACGGGGCACAGCAGGAGCCCCCCUCUCCCUCUCCUCUCCCAGACCUUCUACGCCGUCUCGUUCCUGAUGGUCAUCGUCUACGCGUACGAAGCCUAUCGCACCGUCCAGGGCUGGAGAGCCUGGCACGUCGCAGUGCUGCAGGUGGGUGGCCACCAGCCGUGGUGCAGCCCAGCAUCACCCUUCCUGCACUCCGGGAGCAGUUGGGGGGGUCUGAGGGCAGCCCCUAUUCCUGGGUGUCAGUGAGUUCCCCGUGGAGCUGGGCUGGACCCUUGAGCUGCUGCGGGACCCGCAGCCACCUGUGAUUUCCCCCCUGCAGGAGAGGAGCGGGUGCCUGGAGAGCCUGUGGCAGGGGCUGCCCUACAUCCUGGCCUGGUAGGUGACCACUGCCAGCCCCUCACCCCUCGCUGCCCCUCGCGCCUCCCGGGAUGGCCCCACUCACCUCCGUCUCCCCCUGCAAGGCUGGUGCCGGCGCUCACCCUCCUGGGGCAGCUGAUCGCCCGCGGCACCUCCACCACCACCGACAUCGCCCCAAAACCCAUCGAGCCCGUCCUGCCGUGGAGAGGAAACCGCUCCCACGAGACCUACAGCCUUUACUGCUCCAGCUGCCUGCUCCUCAUCCGCCGGGCCCAAGAUAUCUGCUUCCAGUACGUGGGUAGGAAGGACGUGGGCCUGGAGGGCAAAAUCAUCUUCUUCUUGUACCUGCUGCUGGUGCUGAGCUGCUGCACGGUAAGCCAUGGGGCUAGCGGGGGCCCGGGGGCAGUAGCCAGCGCUCCCCGGGCUGACGCCGCUCCCAUCGCCCAGCUCCUCUACCGCAGGGUGAAGCUCUGGUGCCGGAGGAACGCGGCGGAGCCCCUGCUGACCCUGGAGAAAGACGGCUUCGCCGGCAGGAGCAUCCGCAGCGUCAGCAGGGUCUCCCACUACUUCCAGCUGGUUUUCCUGCUCUGCUGGGCACCAGCCUUCCUCCUCACCCUCCUCUCCUUCACCAGCAUCAAACCUUCUUCGGUCUUUGUCCUCUACAUUGCUACGGUGAGUAAAAACCUGGUUUCCUGGGCUCCGGAGCUGGGACAUCUGUCCCCAUCAGAGGUGUGAGAGGUGAUGGGGUGGGGGCACCCUGGUGGGACAGGGCGGCUGUGAGAGGGGAGCUCCUCCCUUGUUUGAGGUGACCACACCAAGAGGAAGGCCACCUUGUGCCCUGGUGGCCAAGAAGACCAAUGGCAUCCUGGGGGGCAUCAAGGAGAGCGUGGCCAGCAGGUGGAGGGAGGUCAUCCUGCCCCUCUGCUCUGCCCUGGGGAGGCCCCAGCUGGAGCACUGGGACC
RNAcentral lists this long non-coding RNA (1438 nucleotides) under Calidris pygmaea (Spoon-billed sandpiper). RNAcentral's name for it is "lncRNA (ENSCPGG00000000917.1)". The record is from RNAcentral. Lineage: Eukaryota; Metazoa; Chordata; Aves; Charadriiformes; Scolopacidae.